GAUGAAGAACGUAGUGAAAUGCGAUACUUGGUGUGAAUUGCAGAAUCCCGUGAACCAUCGAGUCUUUGAACGCAAGUUGCGCCCGAAGCCAUUAGGCCGAGGGCACGCCUGCCUGGGCGUCACACGUCGUUGCCCCCCCAUCUACUCCUUCGGGAUUGCGGGGGGCGGAUGAUGGCCUCCCGUGCGCCUCGCCGCGCGGUUGGCAUAAAUGCCAAGUCCUCGGCGACGCACGCCACGACAAUCGGUGGUUGCGAAACCUCGGUUGCCCGUCGUGUGCGGUCGUCGCGCAUCGAGGGCUCGAAAAAAUUGCCGGGUUCCGGCUCGGCUUUCAACGCGACCCCAGGUCAGGCGGGGUUACCCGCUGAAUUUAAGCUUAUCAAUAAGCGGAGGA
RNAcentral lists this unclassified non-coding RNA (391 nucleotides) under soil metagenome. RNAcentral describes it as "partial contains 5.8S ribosomal RNA, internal transcribed spacer 2, and large subunit ribosomal RNA". The stretch from base 1 to 122 matches the Rfam family "5.8S ribosomal RNA", at positions 35 to 154 of the family's 154-position model. The record is from RNAcentral.